GAGAAAACGUUCUGUCCGGAGCUGGCAGAAAAGGGGCUAUUUACGCCACCAAUCAGGAGCUGCCACGUCAUAUAUACAAUGAGACCUCAGUACACUCUAUCACACAGGAUUGAAGCUCAAAUAAAACCAAAAAUCAGCAAACAGAACAGAACGUGUUCAGAAGCCUUCUCCUCUGACCAACGCCUCCUCUCCUUUGCCCAAACAGAGCUGCCACCGCCUCCUCUCCUCUGACCAACGGAGCUCCUCCUCGCCGCUGGAGCCGCGGCGGCGUCGUUCUGAGCCGUCGCCCACGCACCCAAAUACUGCGAUGUCCUUAGCCUUCUGAAAGGUAUUAGCGGCUGACUUCCUCAAAUCUGAGUCCAAAACCUUUACUUUGGUCCUUCAUUUUUACUGUGGUUGUUGAAUUCUCCACCGUGAACCUAGGCCUUUGGGACACAACUGGUAUUAUUUAUUUGAUAGAUAUUAUCAUAUUCUUAGUUUCAAAUAUAAUUUUAUAUUACUUGUAAUUUCAAUUUUUUCCUACUUGUAAUGUCAAUUUGCUCUCUAUAUGUACCAGAGUACAAUUAAAGAUGUAGUUAGAUCUGUUUUAUGUAGUGUUUAUUGAGUUGUUGAGCAGGGUGUUCAAAUGUACCCUGCCUUUGUUGUGCUUACGUGGAAUUAAUUUGAAAUUCUAAAAAUUCAAAUUGCAACCAGUUUUGUAUUAAGUUGUUGGAUUUACUCUUUACUUGUAUCCUAAAACAAGUUUGUAAUUAAACAAGUUUGCCAAAUUGGGCAAGUUUGGUAUUGUAAUAGUACAAUAUUUGAAUUUAUUCUCAAUCGUUUCUUAUGAA
Quercus robur (English oak) is the source of this 830-nucleotide long non-coding RNA. RefSeq lists it as uncharacterized. The record is from RefSeq and is a predicted model, not a curated record. NCBI's taxonomy places the organism in Eukaryota, Viridiplantae, Streptophyta, Magnoliopsida, Fagales, Fagaceae. The transcript is spliced from 2 exons.